GUCUGCUUGGAGCUAUAAGAAGUCUAGCCUGCUCUCUGAUGAAUUUAAGGGCCGCGGUAAUUUGACCGUGCAAAGGUAGCAUAAUAGUUAGUUUUUUAAUUGGGAUCUUGUAUGAAUGGUUGGACAAAAGAAAUACUGUCUCUAAUAUUUUAUUUGAAUUUAACUUUUAAGUGAAAAGGCUUAAAUAAAUUAAAAAGACGAUAAGACCCUAUAAAGCUUUAUAAAAAUUUUUAUUUGAUUAAAUUAAAUAAUAAAAUUUUAAUAUCUGAUUUUAUUUUAUUGGGGAGAUAAAAUUAUAAUUUUAAAUAACUGAUUAAGUAGAAAACAAAAAUAUAUGUGUACAAACUUUAAAUGAUCCUUAUUAAAGAUUAAAAGUUUAAGUUACUUUAGGGAUAACAGCGUUAUUUUUCUUGAGAGUUCAUAUCGAAAGAAAAGAUUGCGACCUCGAUGUUGAAUUAAAAUUUCUAAGUUAUUGCAGAAGUCACUUUAGAAGGUCUGUUCGACCUUUAAAUUUUUACAUGAUUUGAGUUCAGACCGGCGUAAGCCAGGUUGGUUUCUAUCUUUUAAUAAAAAACAAAUUAUCUUAGUACGAAAGGAUUUGAUAAUUAAAUUUAUUUUUAAUUUGGUAA
Molecule: ribosomal RNA, 629 nt
Filed under: Rathbunixa sayana
Lineage: Eukaryota; Metazoa; Arthropoda; Malacostraca; Decapoda; Pinnotheridae
Also listed under: 1 other name
Description: partial 16S ribosomal RNA
Rfam family: Bacterial large subunit ribosomal RNA
Source: RNAcentral